UGGGGGAUCGUUCAAUGGUAGGACAACGGACUCUGACUCCGUGAAUAGGGGUUCGAAUCCCUUUCCCCCAGCCA
RNAcentral lists this transfer RNA (74 nucleotides) under Pseudomonadota bacterium. RNAcentral's name for it is "tRNA-Gln". It matches the Rfam family "tRNA". From Rfam's summary of the family: Transfer RNA (tRNA) molecules are approximately 80 nucleotides in length. Their secondary structure includes four short double-helical elements and three loops (D, anti-codon, and T loops). Lineage: Bacteria; Pseudomonadati; Pseudomonadota. RNAcentral also lists the same sequence under 2 other names. The record is from RNAcentral.